RNAcentral lists this ribosomal RNA (253 nucleotides) under uncultured bacterium. RNAcentral describes it as "partial 16S ribosomal RNA". It matches the Rfam family "Bacterial small subunit ribosomal RNA", at positions 524 to 776 of the family's 1533-position model. The record is from RNAcentral.
UACGAAGGGUGCAAGCGUUACUCGGAAUUACUGGGCGUAAAGCGUGCGUAGGUGGUUUGUUAAGUCUGUUGUGAAAUCCCCGGGCUCAACCUGGGAACUGCAUCCGAAACUGCCUUGCUAGAGUAUGGGAGAGGGAAGUGGAAUUUCCGGUGUAGCGGUGAAAUGCGUAGAUAUCGGAAGGAACAUCAGUGGCGAAGGCGACUUCCUGGACCAAUACUGACGCUCAGGUGCGAAAGCGUGGGGAGCAAACAGG